GGGAAGAGCUCAAAUUUUGAAUCUGGCGUUCUUUUGAUCGUCCCGAGUUGUAAUCUAGAGAAGCGUCUUCUGUGCUGGACCGUGUACAAGUCUCCUGGAAGGGAGCGUCAUAGAGGGUGAGAAUCCCGUCUUUGACACGGACCACCAGUGCUAUGUGAUGCGCUCUCAACGAGUCGAGUUGUUUGGGAAUGCAGCUCAAAACGGGUGGUAAAUUCCAUCUAAAGCUAAAUACAGGCGAGAGACCGAUAGCGAACAAGUACCGUGAGGGAAAGAUGAAAAGAACUUUGAAAAGAGAGUUAAACAGUACGUGAAAUUGCUGAAAGGGAAAUGCUUGAUGUCAGUCGCGUCGGCCGGGGAUCAACCUUGCUUUCUUUGCUGGGUGUACUUCCCUGUCGACGGGUCAGCAUCAGUUUUGAUCGCUGUACAAGGGCGAGGGGAACGUGGCACUCUCUUUGCGGGGUGUGUUAUAGCCUUUCGUCAUAUGCGGUGGUUGGGACUGAGGAACUCAGCACGGGCGACCGUGCUUAGGAUGCUGGCAUAAUGGCCUUAAGCGACCCGUCUUGAAACACGGACCAAGGAGUCUAACAUGCCUGCGAGUGUUUGGGUGGAAAACCCGAGCGCGCAAUGAAAGUGAACGUCGAGACCUCUGUCGUGGAGGGCACCGACGCCCGGACCGGAGUCUUUGACGACGGAUCUGCGGUAGAGCAUGCAUGUUGGGACCCGAAAGAUGGUGAACUAUGCCUGAAUAGGGUGAAGCCAGAGGAAACUCUGGUGGAGGCUCGUAGCGAUUCUGACGUGCAAAUCGAUCGUCGAAUUUGGGUAUAGGGCGAAAGACUU
RNAcentral lists this ribosomal RNA (837 nucleotides) under Rugiboletus extremiorientalis. RNAcentral's name for it is "eukaryotic LSU rRNA". It matches the Rfam family "Eukaryotic large subunit ribosomal RNA", at positions 100 to 933 of the family's 3401-position model. Lineage: Eukaryota; Fungi; Basidiomycota; Agaricomycetes; Boletales; Boletaceae. The record is from RNAcentral.